CAGUAGAACGCUGAAGAGAGGAGCUUGCUCUUCUUGGAUGAGUUGCCAACGGGUGAGUAACGCGUAGGUAACCUGCCUUGUAGCGGGGGAUAACUAUUGGAAACGAUAGCUAAUACCGCAUAACAAUGGAUGACACAUGUCAUUUAUUUGAAAGGGGCAAUUGCUCCACUACAAGAUGGACCUGCGUUGUAUUAGCUAGUAGGUGAGGUAACGGCUCACCUAGGCGACGAUACAUAGCCGACCUGAGAGGGUGAUCGGCCACACUGGGACUGAGACACGGCCCAGACUCCUACGGGAGGCAGCAGUAGGGAAUCUUCGGCAAUGGGGGCAACCCUGACCGAGCAACGCCGCGUGAGUGAAGAAGGUUUUCGGAUCGUAAAGCUCUGUUGUAAGUCAAGAACGAGUGUGAGAGUGGAAAGUUCACACUGUGACGGUAGCUUACCAGAAAGGGACGGCUAACUACGUGCCAGCAGCCGCGGUAAUACGUAGGUCCCGAGCGUUGUCCGGAUUUAUUGGGCGUAAAGCGAGCGCAGGCGGUUUGAUAAGUCUGAAGUUAAAGGCUGUGGCUCAACCAUAGUUCGCUUUGGAAACUGUCAAACUUGAGUGCAGAAGGGGAGAGUGGAAUUCCAUGUGUAGCGGUGAAAUGCGUAGAUAUAUGGAGGAACACCGGUGGCGAAAGCGGCUCUCUGGUCUGUAACUGACGCUGAGGCUCGAAAGCGUGGGGAGCGAACAGGAUUAGAUACCCUGGUAGUCCACGCCGUAAACGAUGAGUGCUAGGUGUUGGAUCCUUUC
This 792-nucleotide ribosomal RNA is filed under the name uncultured bacterium. Its description in RNAcentral is "bacterial SSU rRNA". It matches the Rfam family "Bacterial small subunit ribosomal RNA", at positions 59 to 834 of the family's 1533-position model. The record is from RNAcentral.